UCUUCCCAGGCCCACCAUUUUGAUCGAGUGCGGAGCAUUCGUCUUCUGGUACGGGGCCAUAGCUCAGCUGGGAGAGCGCGUGCUUUGCAAGCAUGAGGUCGUCGGUUCGAUCCCGUCUGGCUCCACCAGAUGGAAUUGAAGCUCGAGAAUGCCUCGUCAAAUUCGUCCGCGAAACAUCACUUCGCACUCAUUGGUCCGGAUGGACGGUGACGUGCGUGUUUUCUGACAUCGUAAAGAGGAGAUCGAUCCGAGUUUGGAUCUGCGAAGCAAUUCGCGGGUACCAUUCCUAAUCUCCAGAUCGUUUUCGGCGCUCGUUCAUCGCUACUCAUCGCAAGAUGAGUGAGAUGAGUGAGUUGUAAAACGAUCUUUGUAGCGAAGCUUGACCGCCUCGCUAUCGGGCCGAUCUUACGAAGCAAGCUGGUCUUUCUAGUCAAUGUCCGGCUGUGCAAUCGCAUUCAUCGAGGAUGCGCGCCUGGGACUUCGGUCUUUGGGCAAUUACACAGACAACAUUCUGCCGAGUGUGUGGACAUUGAUAAUGAGAGCAAUCAAGUGCCUUAAGGGUGUUCGGUGGAUGCCUUGGCGCUGAGAGGCGAUGAAGGACGUGCUACGCUGCGAU
RNAcentral lists this transfer RNA (616 nucleotides) under Bradyrhizobium sp. STM 3077. RNAcentral describes it as "partial 16S-23S ribosomal RNA intergenic spacer". The stretch from base 53 to 125 matches the Rfam family "tRNA". Lineage: Bacteria; Pseudomonadati; Pseudomonadota; Alphaproteobacteria; Hyphomicrobiales; Nitrobacteraceae. The record is from RNAcentral.